RNAcentral lists this long non-coding RNA (201 nucleotides) under Elaeis guineensis (African oil palm). RNAcentral describes it as "long non-coding RNA (EGUI_LNC068855)". Lineage: Eukaryota; Viridiplantae; Streptophyta; Magnoliopsida; Arecales; Arecaceae. The record is from RNAcentral.
UUGAUGGCUGGAGAAGUAUGAAAGACACCUAAAACAGUCAGUCACUAUAGAAAUCCAGCUGCUGGAGCCCAUCCGUUGUAGAAGUUUCUCUAGAAUCCAAUUCUAUUGUAGAAGUUUGGACGGAGUCCGGUUCUUGUAGGAGUUCGAAAGGAGGUCGUUUACUGUAGAAGCUCGGAUGGAGAUCGGUUGCUGUGGAAGCCC